Molecule: ribosomal RNA, 911 nt
Filed under: uncultured bacterium
Lineage: Bacteria
Description: bacterial SSU rRNA
Rfam family: Bacterial small subunit ribosomal RNA
Source: RNAcentral
AGAGUUUGAUCCUGGCUCAGAACGAACGCUGGCGGCGCGCCUAAUACAUGCAAGUCGAGCGAGAAGACGUAGCAAUACGUUUGUAAAGCGGCGAACGGGUGAGGAAUGCAUGGGUAACCUACCCUCGAGUGGGGAAUAACUAGCCGAAAGGUUAGCUAAUACCGCAUACGAUUCCCGGACUGCGGUUCGGGAGGGAAAGCGAUACCGUGGGUAUCGCGCUCUUGGAUGGGCUCAUGUCCUAUCAGCUUGUUGGUGAGGUAAUGGCUCACCAAGGCUUCGACGGGUAGCUGGUCUGAGAGGACGAUCAGCCACACUGGCACUGCGACACGGGCCAGACUCCUACGGGAGGCAGCAGUAAGGAAUAUUGCGCAAUGGACGAAAGUCUGACGCAGCGACGCCGCGUGGGGGAUGAAGGUCUUCGGAUUGUAAACCCCUUUCGGCAGGGAAGAUGGAACGGGUAACCGUUCGGACGGUACCUGCAGAAGCAGCCACGGCUAACUUCGUGCCAGCAGCCGCGGUAAUACGAAGGUGGCAAGCGUUGUUCGGAUUCACUGGGCGUACAGGGAGCGUAGGCGGUUGGGUAAGCCCUCCGUGAAAUCUCCGGGCCUAACCCGGAAAGUGCAGAGGGGACUGCUCGGCUAGAGGAUGGGAGAGGAGCGCGGAAUUCCCGGUGUAGCGGUGAAAUGCGUAGAGAUCGGGAGGAAGGCCGGUGGCGAAGGCGGCGCUCUGGAACAUUUCUGACGCUGAGGCUCGAAAGCGUGGGGAGCAAACAGGAUUAGAUACCCUGGUAGUCCACGCCUUAAACUAUGGAUACUAAGUGUCGGCGGUUUACCGCCGGUGCCGCAGCUAACGCAGUAAGUAUCCCGCCUGGGAAGUACGGCCGCAAGGUUGAAACUCAAAGGAAUUGACGG